Macaca mulatta (Rhesus monkey) is the source of this 2040-nucleotide long non-coding RNA. RefSeq lists it as uncharacterized. The record is from RefSeq and is a predicted model, not a curated record. Lineage: Eukaryota; Metazoa; Chordata; Mammalia; Primates; Cercopithecidae.
CCUUUCAUCUUCCUGCUUCAAAGAAGGACCCUUCCCCUGGUAGAAAUUAUCACCAUGCCCUGCUCGACUCAGAAUCACAGACACACAAAAGAUUUGUAUCCCAGAACACAGCAACAGCACACUGUGGUAACAUCAUUUCUGCCAAAACGCAACUUCCGGUCUCCCUGUGGCUGGGAAAUCAGUUUCUUUUCUCUUAAGCUUUGCUCGGAGGGGAACAAAAAGAGCGAAGAGGACAGCAGCUGCGGCCACUUCAGGGAGGAGCCGGCAACACAAAAGCCCUUUCACCAGCACAUUUUUUAACUCCCUGCCGGGCCUCCCACCAGUCUCUAAUCAAGUUCCUGCUGCCAGGAAUUCUAGCCCCAGCUCCCACAGUGGCAUCGGGUCCCACCACAGCAGGCCAGGCUACCAGCAGCCGCCCAGCUCCCAGCCACCUGCAGACCCUUUAGUAAGGAUCGAGGCCCAGCAGCCUCCUCCACAUUCCAUCUCCUGUCACAGGAGGACACGCAGCAGGAGCAGGGUUCCUAGGAUGUGUGUCAAAUAUCCUACUUUAUAUUAGGAAAAGGGCUUCUAACUUGAAUGAAUAAUAAAUAGCUGAAAUAUGCAGAGUUCUGCAGAACCAGAAAGAAGCUCCAGAAACAUUUUCCCUGAUGGAGGUCAACAAUCAGGAAAACCUGUUGAAGCUUACAACAAAGCAACAGAGAAUGGAUCUGAAGUAGAAGAGGGGGUUGGAUGCUGAGAAGCACGCCGGGCAAACCAGUCCCUGAAUGUGAGAUUCCACGGGCUUCCAAGAUCUUUACUCCACUAAACAUCUUCGUUAAAUCUACUCUAUAAUCCUCACUGCAGGCCUUACGGACAGCAAUCUGAGGUGGCGAAUCUUAAUUAGAGCUCUGGAGACCGGCUCUCUAACAAGACCGACUUUCCAAAUAAUUUUUCACAUGGCACGCUCCCCCUCCAAACCGCACAUGGAAGGGCAGUCACGUGGCAUGGAUCUGUCAGAACAGUUCACCAACGUCCAGAGGCCUCUCCAGGAAGGGCAGAUGACACCACAAGCCCUGCGGGAGUCUGCGCCCGCCAUCCCCACUCUGCCAUUAUGCCUUCUCUCGCUGCAAAGCCAUUUGCAAAACAUGUACAAAACACAGAGCUAACAGGAAGGUCCGUUUGGUAACAGAUUUCUAGGUAGUCCAUAGAAUUUCUACUUCUACAAAAACAGAAAACCACCUUUCAGAAGAGGUUUCCAAUUUAAGCGGAUUUAAAGAGAAGAAAAGGAAAGAUGUUAAAAUAGAACUUCAUUCAGCUUGCUGGAUAGGUUCUCUGUUCUGUGAGAAGUACAUAAAUGAUACACAUAUUUGACCAGGUUGAAAUAGGUAAAACAUGACAAAAAUUUGGUUAUAAUUCUCAACCAACACUAGUAGCUUUAAGUUAAGACAAAGGCAAGAAGCGAACAGUUAAGUGGACAGGUUGUUGGUUCCCAGAGCCACAGCACUCCUGCACAGGCUCAUAUUAAUUGGAGCAAUAUUAAAUGCACCAACUAGGCAAAGCGAGACCCUGGCGGAAACGGGCGAUGGGCAGCGUGUGAAGUUCCAGCAAGCACCAACCUGGCCUGGGCCGGGCACACGCCCGCGCACACCGAGCUGUAGUGCCGUCUCUGACGGCCCCCACAGUGGGUCCUCAACCGCCCCUCCACUUCUUCACCUGACAUGCAUCUUUCCACACUUCCGUCGUGCCCUAGAAAUUAGUUAAGACACACUCCAAGUGAAUAAUGAGCAUGCCUAAUUUUAGCCAACAAAAUAUACUGAUUUUUCCUAAAGGAGUUUCUACACUGUGAUACCAAUUGUCCUGCCAGGAAUCUCUGAUGAAAUAACUUGGACUGAUAAUUCUUCUGCCAAAAAAUGUAUCUUGUAACGAAUACAAGGUCCAAUGUGUAAAUAUUAUUCUAACACUUUUAUUCAUUUCCAAAAGCAUAUAAACAUAAGUCUACUGUACACUACUUAUUUUCUCUGUAAAGCAAGGACCACAGAAUAAAUGACCUGCAAAUUUCCA